GUAGGUGGCAAGCGUUGUCCGGAAUUAUUGGGCGUAAAGCGCGCGCAGGUGGGUUCUUUAAGUCUGAUGUGAAAGCCCCCGGGCUCAACCGGGGAGGGUCAUUGGAAACUGGGGAACUUGAGUGCAGGAGAGGAAAGUGGAAUUCCACGUGUAGCGGUGAAAUGCGUAGAUAUGUGGAGGAACACCAGUGGCGAAGGCGACUUUCUGGCCUGUAACUGACGCUGAGGCGCGAAAGCGUGGGGAGCAAACAGGAUUAGAUACCCUGGUAGUCCACGCCGUAAACGAUGAGUGCUAAGUGUUGGGGGGUUUCCGCCCCUCAGUGCUGCAGCUAACGCAUUAAGCACUCCGCCUGGGGAGUACGGUCGCAAGACUG
RNAcentral lists this ribosomal RNA (373 nucleotides) under uncultured organism. RNAcentral describes it as "partial 16S ribosomal RNA". It matches the Rfam family "Bacterial small subunit ribosomal RNA", at positions 527 to 896 of the family's 1533-position model. The record is from RNAcentral.